This 477-nucleotide ribosomal RNA is filed under the name Sanguibacter sp. RNAcentral describes it as "bacterial SSU rRNA". It matches the Rfam family "Bacterial small subunit ribosomal RNA", at positions 279 to 771 of the family's 1533-position model. Lineage: Bacteria; Bacillati; Actinomycetota; Actinomycetes; Micrococcales; Sanguibacteraceae. The record is from RNAcentral.
ACGGGUAGCCGGCUGAGAGGGCGACCGGCCACACUGGGACUGAGACACGGCCCAGAUUCUACGGGAGGCAGCAGUGGGGAAUUUGCACAAUGGGCGAAAGCCUGAUGCAGCGACGCCGCGUGAGGGAUGACGGCCUUCGGGUUGUAAACCUCUUUCAGUAGGGAAGAAGCGAGAGUGACGGUACCUGCAGAAGAAGCGCCGGCUAACUACGUGCCAGCAGCCGCGGUAAUACGUAGGGCGCAAGCGUUGUCCGGAAUUAUUGGGCGUAAAGAGCUUGUAGGCGGUUUGUCACGUCUGGUGUGAAAUCCCAUCGCUCAACGGUGGGCUUGCAUCGGGUACGGGCAGGCUAGAGUGUGGUAGGGGAAACUGGAAUUCCUGGUGUAGCGGUGAAAUGCGCAGAUAUCAGGAGGAACACCGAUGGCGAAGGCAGGUUUCUGGGCCAUUACUGACGCUGAGAAGCGAAAGCAUGGGGAGCGA